CUUUGCUUUGUUAGAGUUCAGCGGUGUUUGGUCGUCGAGUGCCUUAAUCCCUCUGCAAACUGCAGUCGCAGCCAGGUAGGUAAUGUGUCACACCUUAGAUGUAGCCGCACCGUCUGUUCAUCUCACAUCUAGCCCAUGGAUUGAAGAAUCCAUGUCUUUUCUGCCCCCCUUCCAUCCAUUGUCUCUGUUCCCCUCCCUUUCAUGUCUUUUCUUCA
Molecule: non-coding RNA, 215 nt
Organism: Pelobates cultripes (western spadefoot toad)
Lineage: Eukaryota; Metazoa; Chordata; Amphibia; Anura; Pelobatidae
Source: the annotation of a GenBank genome assembly